GGCGUGACUCCAAUUGAACCGCAGGCUUCACCCUUGUGGUGCUCCCCCGCCAAUCCUUUAAGUUCAUACUUGCGUACGUACUUCCCAGGCGGCAGACUUAACGGCUUCCCUGCGGCACUGCAUUGGCCACAAGCCAAUGCAUCACCGAGUCUGCAUCGUUUACAGCUGGGACUACCCGGGUAUCUAAUCCGGUUUGCUCCCCCAGCUUUCAUCCCUCACCGUCGAACGUGUUCUGGUACACCGCCUUCGCCACAGGUGGUCUUCAAUAGAUCAAAGGAUUUUACCCCUUCCUAUCGAGUACCGUGUACCUCUCCCACUCCCUAGCUGCACAGUAUUUUCGGCGGCCUAUACGUUAAGCGCAUAGAUUUAACCGAAAACUUAUGCAACCGGCUACGGAUGCUUUAGGCCCAAUAAACCUCCUGACCACUCGAGGUGCUGGUUUUACCGCGGCGGCUGACAAAAAACACAAACCCCCCCCAAAAAAAAACACGGGGGGACAAAAAAAAAAAACCCCUUUUUUGCCCCCCAACCCCCCCUUUAAUUUUCCACCAAGUUGAAUUUCCUACAAAUUGAAAAAAGACUCCUUUAACAGGAGACACUCGGAUA
This 606-nucleotide ribosomal RNA is filed under the name uncultured archaeon. RNAcentral describes it as "partial 16S ribosomal RNA". The record is from RNAcentral.